Molecule: transfer RNA, 60 nt
Filed under: Arytainilla spartiophila (broom psyllid)
Lineage: Eukaryota; Metazoa; Arthropoda; Insecta; Hemiptera; Psyllidae
Description: tRNA-Gly
Source: RNAcentral
UAUUCUAUUAGUAUAAAUAAUAUUACAAUUAGCUUCCAACUAAAAAAUCUUUGAUAGAAU